RNAcentral lists this long non-coding RNA (289 nucleotides) under Amborella trichopoda. RNAcentral's name for it is "long non-coding RNA (ATRI_LNC005486)". Lineage: Eukaryota; Viridiplantae; Streptophyta; Magnoliopsida; Amborellales; Amborellaceae. The record is from RNAcentral.
UUGGCUUGAUCGAUGUGACUUCUACUUCGGGAGUAGUCAACUCUAGACUUUGUUUUGUGUGUUUUUUUUAGGUACUGACCUGUUACUGUGAUAAGAGGUGAAAUAAUUGUUAGCUCAUACAAUAUGUACUGCCUGGAUAUCUGAAUCAUACUCCGUUUUACACUACUAAUGAACUGUGAUGCAUGACUUUACUCUGUGACUUGCAUGAACUGUGAUGAUCUGCGGACCACAUUAUUUUAUAAGUGUGCAUGUGUACUUACUGGGCUUUAGUUCAUUCCUCUCUUUUUUU